RNAcentral lists this ribosomal RNA (472 nucleotides) under uncultured bacterium. Its description in RNAcentral is "bacterial SSU rRNA". It matches the Rfam family "Bacterial small subunit ribosomal RNA", at positions 29 to 531 of the family's 1533-position model. The record is from RNAcentral.
AACGAACGCUGGCGGCAUGCUUAACACAUGCAAGUCGAACGGAUAGCUUGCUAUCAGUGGCGCACGGGUGAGUAACACGUGGGAACCUACCUUUAGUUUGGGAUAACUUUGGGAAACUAAGGCUAAUACCGGAUACGCUUUGCAGCUUGGCGCUGUAAAGGAAAGAUUUAUCGCUAAAAAGAUGGGCCCGCGGUGGAUUAGCUUGUUGGUGGGGUAAAGGCUUACCAAGGCAACGAUCCAUAGCUGGUCUGAGAGGAUGAUCAGCCACACUGGGACUGAGAUACGGCCCAGACUCCUACGGGAGGCAGCAGUGGGGAAUAUUGGACAAUGGGCGAAAGCCUGAUCCAGCAAUGCCGCGUGAGUGAAGAAGGUCUUCGGAUUGUAAAGCUCUUUCACGGGUGAAGAUAAUGACGGUAACCCGAGAAGAAGCCCCGGCUAACUUCGUGCCAGCAGCCGCGGUAAAGUCUGUACU